UGGGGAAUAUUGCACAACGGGCGGAAGCCUGAUGCAGCAACGCCGCGUGCGGGAUGACGGCCUUCGGGUUGUAAACCGCUUUCAGCAGGGACGAAGCGUGAGUGACGGUACCUGCAGAAGAAGCACCGGCUAACUACGUGCCAGCAGCCGCGGUGGUACGUAGGGUGCGAGCGUUGUCCGGAUUUAUUGGGCGUAAAGAGCUUGUAGGCGGUUGGUUGCGUCGAAAGUGCAAACUCAGGGCUUAACUCUGAGCCUGCUUUCGAUACGGGCUGGCUGGAGGGAGGUAGGGGAGGAAGGAAUUUCCGGUGGGGGGGUAGAAUGCGGAGAUUACGGGAGGAAAACCCAGGGCGAAGGCGGUUCCUUGGAACUUUCCUGACGCUGAGAAGCGAAAGCGUGGGGAGCAAACAG
Molecule: ribosomal RNA, 408 nt
Filed under: uncultured bacterium
Lineage: Bacteria
Description: bacterial SSU rRNA
Rfam family: Bacterial small subunit ribosomal RNA
Source: RNAcentral